Molecule: long non-coding RNA, 735 nt
Filed under: Helianthus annuus (common sunflower)
Lineage: Eukaryota; Viridiplantae; Streptophyta; Magnoliopsida; Asterales; Asteraceae
Source: RNAcentral
UAAACUUGAAAGAUUAAAACAAAAUAAACACCACCAAACACACACUUAGGUGUGUUUGGUCGAUUAAAAACGCAGGGAACGAGCAGGAGCUUCACACAAACCCUAACUCUCACUAAAUCAAUCAAUUGAAGGCUCUAAUCUGGUCCAAAUCGAAAUCCGAGCACGUAUUAGUGAUCCCCACUGAAAAAGGAGUCACAAGUUUGACUCUAAACAAGCUAGGUGGGAGCUUGGAAAGGAACGGGUCAAACGAAUGAUGGAUGCGAAGGAUGUUUGCGCGGACGCGAGGGAACGAGCAGGAGCUUCACACAAACCCUAACUCUCACUAAAUCAAUCAAUUGAAGGCUCUAAUCUGGUCCAAAUCGAAAUCCGAGCACGUAUUAGUGAUCCCCACUGAAAAAGGAGUCACAAGUUUGACUCUAAACAAGCUAGGUGGGAGCUUGGAAAGGAACGGGUCAAACGAAUGAUGGAUGCGAAGGAUGUUUGCGCGGACGCGAGGGUAAAACGGCUUAUGGAAUUUACGUGGCUAUGAAUCAGCAAAUUAUUAAGGAAAGGUAUUAAAACGGGUCAAUACUUUGACCCGCGCCAGGUACAUUUUGGAUGCCGGAAGACGAUCAAGCUCGACGAAGGACCGAACACGAUAUAGAUACAUGCUUCCGCACUCUAACACAUUGCAAAUUUUUAACAACGAAUUCAACCACGUUAUGUAGAAUAACUUAUGAAUUGUAAAAGUUUUAA